This 253-nucleotide ribosomal RNA is filed under the name uncultured bacterium. RNAcentral's name for it is "partial 16S ribosomal RNA". It matches the Rfam family "Bacterial small subunit ribosomal RNA", at positions 524 to 776 of the family's 1533-position model. The record is from RNAcentral.
UACGGAGGGUGCGAGCGUUAAUCGGAAUUACUGGGCGUAAAGGGCGCGUAGGCGGUUGUGUAAGCGGGAUGUGAAAUCCCCGGGCUUAACCCGGGAACUGCAUUGCGAACUGCACGGCUAGAGUUUUGGAGAGGAGAGUAGAAUUCCCGGUGUAGCGGUGAAAUGCGUAGAGAUCGGGAGGAAUACCAGUGGCGAAGGCGGCUCUCUGGCCAAAAACUGACGCUGAGGUGCGAAAGCGUGGGGAGCAAACAGG